UACAGAGGGUGCGAGCGUUGUUCGGAAUUAUUGGGCGUAAAGGGCGCGUAGGCGGUGCGGUAAGUCACCUGUGAAAUCUCCUGGCUCAACUGGGAGCUUGCAGGCGAAACUGCCGUGCUGGAGUGUGGGAGAGGUGCGUGGAAUUCCCGGUGUAGCGGUGAAAUGCGUAGAUAUCGAGAGGAACACCUGCGGCGAAGGCGGGUAGCUGGGCCGACACUGACGCUGAUGCGCGAAAGCCAGGGGAGCGAACGGG
This 253-nucleotide ribosomal RNA is filed under the name uncultured bacterium. RNAcentral describes it as "partial 16S ribosomal RNA". It matches the Rfam family "Bacterial small subunit ribosomal RNA", at positions 524 to 776 of the family's 1533-position model. The record is from RNAcentral.